UACGUAGGGUCCGAGCGUUGUCCGGAAUUAUUGGGCGUAAAGAGCUCGUAGGCGGUUUGUCGCGUCUGCUGUGAAAACUGGGGGCUCAACCCCCAGCCUGCAGUGGGUACGGGCAGACUAGAGUGCGGUAGGGGAGAUUGGAAUUCCUGGUGUAGCGGUGAAAUGCGCAGAUAUCAGGAGGAACACCGAUGGCGAAGGCAGGUCUCUGGGCCACUACUGACGCUGAGAAGCGAAAGCAUGGGGGAGCGAACAGG
RNAcentral lists this ribosomal RNA (254 nucleotides) under uncultured bacterium. Its description in RNAcentral is "partial 16S ribosomal RNA". It matches the Rfam family "Bacterial small subunit ribosomal RNA", at positions 524 to 776 of the family's 1533-position model. The record is from RNAcentral.